RNAcentral lists this small RNA (117 nucleotides) under Marmota monax (woodchuck). The record is from RNAcentral. Lineage: Eukaryota; Metazoa; Chordata; Mammalia; Rodentia; Sciuridae.
ACUAGAUGUGGUGACACAUGCCUGUAGUCCCAGCUACCUGGAAGGCAGAGAUAGGAGGAUUACUUGAGUGCAAGAGUUUGAGACCAACCUGGACAACAUAGCAAGACCCAGUCUCAA